AGUGAACGCUGGCGGUAGGCCUAACACAUGCAAGUCGAACGGCAGCACAGUAAGAGCUUGCUCUUACGGGUGGCGAGUGGCGGACGGGUGAGGAAUACAUCGGAAUCUACUUUUUCGUGGGGGAUAACGUAGGGAAACUUACGCUAAUACCGCAUACGACCUACGGGUGAAAGCAGGGGAUCUUCGGACCUUGCGCGAUUGAAUGAGCCGAUGUCGGAUUAGCUAGGUGGCGGGGUAAAGGCACACCAAGGCGACGAUCCGUAGCUGGUCUGAGCGGAUGAUCAGCCACACUAGCACUGAGACGCGGCACAGACUCCUACGGGGGGCAGCUGUGGAGAAUACUGGACAAGGGGAGCAAGUCUCAGCCAGCCAUACCGCGUGGGUGGAGAAGGCCUGCGGCGUGUAAAGCUCUUUUGUUGGAAAAGAAAAGCAGCAGGUUACUACCCCGCUGUUCUGACGGUACCCAAAGAAUAAGCACCGGCUAACCUCG
This 490-nucleotide ribosomal RNA is filed under the name uncultured bacterium. RNAcentral's name for it is "partial 16S ribosomal RNA". It matches the Rfam family "Bacterial small subunit ribosomal RNA", at positions 29 to 505 of the family's 1533-position model. The record is from RNAcentral.